UACGGAAGGCAGCAGUGGGGAAUAUUGCACAAUGGGCGCAAGCCUGAUGCAGCCAUGCCGCGUGUAUGAAGAAGGCCUUCGGGUUGUAAAGUACUUUCAGCGGGGAGGAAGGCGAUGCGGUUAAUAACCGCGUCGAUUGACGUUACCCGCAGAAGAAGCACCGGCUAACUCCGUGCCAGCAGCCGCGGUAAUACGGAGGGUGCAAGCGUUAAUCGGAAUUACUGGGCGUAAAGCGCACGCAGGCGGUCUGUUAAGUCAGAUGUGAAAUCCCCGGGCUUAACCUGGGAACUGCAUUUUGAACUGGCAGGCUUGAGUCUUGUAGAGGGGGUGAAAUUCCAGGUGUAGCGGUGAAAUGCGUAGAGAUCUGGAGGAAUACCGGUGGCGAAGGCGGCCCCUGGGACAAAGCUGACGCUCAGGUGCGAAAGCGUGGGGAGCAAACAGGGAUUAGAUACC
Molecule: ribosomal RNA, 453 nt
Filed under: uncultured bacterium
Lineage: Bacteria
Description: bacterial SSU rRNA
Rfam family: Bacterial small subunit ribosomal RNA
Source: RNAcentral